RNAcentral lists this ribosomal RNA (440 nucleotides) under uncultured bacterium. RNAcentral describes it as "partial 16S ribosomal RNA". It matches the Rfam family "Bacterial small subunit ribosomal RNA", at positions 338 to 795 of the family's 1533-position model. The record is from RNAcentral.
CCUACGGGAGGCAGCAGUGGGGAAUAUUGCACAAUGGGGGAAACCCUGAUGCAGCGACGCCGCGUGAGUGAAGAAGUAAUUCGUUAUGUACAGCUCUAUCAGCAGGGAAGAAAAUGACGGUACCUGAGUAAGAAGCCCCGUCUAACUACGUGCCAGCAGCCGCGGUAAUACGUAGGGGGCAAGCGUUAUCCGGAUUUACUGGGUGUAAAGGGAGCGUAGACGGCAUUGCAAGUCUGGAGUGAAAGGCGGGGGCUCAACCCCCGGACUGCUCUGGAAACUGUACGGCUUGAGUGCAGGAGAGGUAAGUGGAAUUCCUAGUGUAGCGGUGAAAUGCGUAGAUAUUAGGAGGAACACCAGUGGCGAAGGCGGCUUACUGGACUGUAACUGACGUUGAGGCUCGAAAGCGUGGGGAGCAAACAGGAUUAGAUACCCCAGUAGUC